GUAACAACUGGGCGUGAGAACUACUGUAAAACAAGUAGUCCUCAGUGGGUACCGCCCAAAACAACAUCGGUCACCCACUAAGUCUACAGAAGGGAGCAAGGAUAGAAGGAAAGCAGGAAGCAUACUCUACCACUAUCAUCCACUACACUAUCAUGCUCUACACUAACCAACUGUAGGAAAUGUCAAAUCUGACCCAAUCCAAAUCGGGACUGUAAGCAUACCCGUCCCCGGGACUGUGAAUACACCCGUCCCUGCCCCGUUGCGACUAUCGGGCUCUAUCCACUCUAACUGGUCCGUGGAGAGCAAGUCCAACUGGCAUGCGCGACACCAACGCAAAAGCACAAGCCUGACUCCGGAGUGGCACUCGUGGGCGCUACCCAACCGAGUAUGCAGCGUAUCUCUGUCGAGUAUGCAGUCGUGGGCGCUACCCAACCGAGUAUGCAGCGUAUCUCUGUCGAGCUCAAUCAGGCUCCAACUAGCCAAAGUCAAGUAAUCGACUCAAAAUGGUCUAACAACCAACAGGUAACGUGCCCUCGGCACAAUCUGACGCCAAAAAGGCGAUACGGGUCCACCGUCAACUCUGACGGCACCCAACAGUCCGAAACGACCUGAACAACCCUGUAAAAAUCCACUCGGCGAACCAGUACGAGUGUAAAUACAUUCUAAACUACCUGGAAUACUCGUCUCGAAGAAACUGCGACAGUACAAUUUUCUAACGGUUCCUAGAGCUAAAUCAGGUAGUUAAAUCUGGUGACAGGUCCAAAUCGCAGGUUUUCUCCUAAUUCAAUUUCCAAGUCCAACAUGUAUAAUCUAUUUACUUGAUAAAAUAUGCUCGAAAAUUCAGAUUUUUACAUUCUAACAAUAAUCCAUGAAUUUGAGCUAAACUAUUGUAGAAACCACGAUUUAUACAUGUCGA
Molecule: long non-coding RNA, 916 nt
Filed under: Ananas comosus (pineapple)
Lineage: Eukaryota; Viridiplantae; Streptophyta; Magnoliopsida; Poales; Bromeliaceae
Description: long non-coding RNA (ACOM_LNC041548)
Source: RNAcentral